CAUGCUGCACUGACUGACUACUUUGAGAGCUGGCACAGGCGAAUGAAUAACAAGGUGGAAGAGCAGUCAUUGGGACUCUGCAUGCUCAUCCCAGAGCUCCUUCGUGAGGCCAGCCUCCUACCCCUCCAGACCAGGCUCAUUCAAUAAGGAAGACCUGAGGCUUACAUCCACAAGUCAUCAUCAGCCAGGCAGGAGGAGCGUUUUGGAGAGAGGCGGAACAGGCGUGAUGAUCUGAAGAGACAAGAAACUGGAAAGGAGGCAUCACACAGAAUAGCAGCAAAACAACAACAAAAAAAACAAGUCCGGGAGUUCUAUAGAAUAUUACGAUGCCGCCAAUGAAAGGAUAGCCAUCAUCAGCAACUUCAGCCUUGACAACACCAAAGGAGAAUCCAAAGUCAUUGCCGAUCACAAAGGGGGUCUGCUGUAUACAAUUGAUCUAAAGAAGAGUGUAUGUCGCGUCCAGAAGUUAACCCUUCCAUUUGCUAAGUUCUGUGUUACAGAUAAAUUCAAAAAAGCCUUUGACUUCACUCUUGGAUUCGGAAGUAACUCGCUGUCAUCAACAAUUUACUAUGAACUCGACCGUGGCUUUGGUCCGCACCCCAACAGCGUGAUAGACAGCUUCGUUGUUGUCUCGAAAGAAUGCAUUCCCUUACAAACAGACCUCUACGGAAAGGAUAAAUACAACUUCCUUCAAUCAACGGGGUUUUCAAACCUCGGUGCAGAGUUCGAUGAAUCUGUCUUUGAUCC
This is a long non-coding RNA of Haliotis rubra (blacklip abalone), 747 nucleotides long. RefSeq lists it as uncharacterized. The record is from RefSeq and is a predicted model, not a curated record. NCBI's taxonomy places the organism in Eukaryota, Metazoa, Mollusca, Gastropoda, Lepetellida, Haliotidae. The transcript has 7 exons.